Molecule: ribosomal RNA, 465 nt
Filed under: uncultured bacterium
Lineage: Bacteria
Description: partial 16S ribosomal RNA
Rfam family: Bacterial small subunit ribosomal RNA
Source: RNAcentral
GACGAACGCUGGCGGCGUGCUUAACACAUGCAAGUCGAACGGAAAGGCCCUGCUUGCAGGGUACUCGAGUGGCGAACGGGUGAGUAACACGUGGGUGAUCUGCCCUGCACUUCGGGAUAAGCCUGGGAGACUGGGUCUAAUACCGGAUAGGAGCCAUUUUUAGUGGGAUGGUUGGAAAGUUUUUUCGGUGUAGGAUGAGCUCGCGGCCUAUCAGCUUGUUGGUGGGGUAAUGGCCUACCAAGGCGGCGACGGGUAGCCGGCCUGAGAGGGUGGACGGCCACAUUGGGACUGAGAUGCGGCCCAGACUCCUACGGGAGGCAGCAGUGGGGAAGAUUGCACAAUGGGCGCAAGCCUGAUGCAGCGACGCCGCGUGGGGGAUGACGGCCUUCGGGUUGUAAACUCCUUUCGCUAGGGACGAAGCUUUUUGUGACGGUACCUAGAUAAGAAGCACCGGCUAACUACGUG